AUUUUACGUAUUUCUAAAAAGAGCACUAGAGGUACGCUGGGAAAAAAUAUAUGUUUAAUUACACAUUUAAAAAAAAGUAUGUUAAACACAAGCAUACUUUUACAGAAGUUUUAGUGUAUUUAGAAAAAAACAUAUAUAUUUUUAAACAUGUACAUUAAUUUUAAUAGGCUAACAUUGCAAUUUCAACAUCAUAUCAUUGAACUUGAAUUAUAUAUUGAUUUUACAAAGUUAAUCCACAUAAAUUUGUUAGUGUUUAUAUUCAAACAACACACGUGACGGACCUGACUAAACCUCAUUGGUUCUUGGGAUUCAGUACGUCACAUUGGCUUCCUGAUUCUGUUGUUCGAUACACAACGUGCUUGAUCGUUGGUAAAUGUGGAUUAAAAGUUGAAACUAAAACUGUUAAAUUAUAUAUAGUGAUCAUCAGAGGACUUGGCUGAAACAACGCGAUUCACAUGGAUUACUUCGGCGAUAUUUUUUAUUGCUGUUGCGAUUAACUUUUUUUAAAUGUGAGCAGUUUUUAAGUAUCAAGUGGAUCUGACAUCGAGGGGAAAUAUACGUUUCUUGGAUUUCAUUAAAGUACAUCGGUUUUUGUUUGAAGAUGAAUGAGAGAACAUGAGGCACAGCGGCAUUCAAAUUGACCAAUCAGAGCCGAGAAUAUCUAAUAAGUCGAAGUAGAGAUGAACAGAUGAAGAUACAGCCCGUAAAAAUACUUAUUCUUGGUGAGUGCCAUGUAGCGACGGAUCAAACGGACACUCAUGUCAAGCUUGAUGAGGACACAGUCAAAGCUUUAAAAGACCUUGUGAUUAAGUCUUCAACGUCUGAAUGGCAAGAAGAAGUGACCGUCCACUUAAACGUGACAUUUAAACUGCUCUGUGUUUUGGUUCAGCCAUUUGCAGGUUUAUCUCGAGUUAGUUCAAAUGCACUUCUGCAUUUGUCCAGUAACUUUUUGUUUAGAGAAUUACAUCAUUAUGAUUAUAUAAUUAUUCAAUGGUUGCAUAUUCAUAGUGUACUUUUCAUAUUGAUGUAUUAAUGUUCCACAAUUUGAUAAAAGUAGCUCAUUGCAUUUCACUGAUCUUUGUUUUAUAUUGUAAAAUCAUUUCAAUAGCAGUAAAUACAUACUUAGUUGUUUCUUUAACAUUUAAUUAGUUGUUAAUGAUGGAAGAAACCGGUUCGUAUGUAUGAAUACAGAAUAGGUAUCAUUUUAGAAUGAGUUAAAACAUGUUUUGGUGGCAAACAUGCAGGUAAAAUAGUACAUAUAUAACAUUCUAAUAGUAAACUUGACUGUAAUUCAAAUGUCACAUACAGAACAUUAGAAAUGAUUUAUUUUAUGUAUACAAAUGUGUGGGCAAUAUAUUAUUAUUUCAUUUUGUAUGCUAUAUUAUUUAUGUAAUAUUAUUAUAUCUGAAAUUAUUAAAUUACAUUUAUAAGUGUUUAAA
This is a non-coding RNA of Paramisgurnus dabryanus, 1439 nucleotides long. The record is from RefSeq and is a predicted model, not a curated record. Lineage: Eukaryota; Metazoa; Chordata; Actinopteri; Cypriniformes; Cobitidae.